This 253-nucleotide ribosomal RNA is filed under the name uncultured bacterium. Its description in RNAcentral is "partial 16S ribosomal RNA". It matches the Rfam family "Bacterial small subunit ribosomal RNA", at positions 524 to 776 of the family's 1533-position model. The record is from RNAcentral.
UACGUAGGGUGCGAGCGUUGUCCGGAAUUAUUGGGCGUAAAGAGCUCGUAGGCGGUCUGUCGCGUCGGCUGUGAAAACCCGGGGCUCAACCCCGGGCCUGCAGUCGAUACGGGCAGACUAGAGUACUGCAGGGGAGACUGGAAUUCCUGGUGUAGCGGUGAAAUGCGUAGAUAUCUGGAGGAACACCGGUGGCGAAGGCGGCAUCCUGGACCGGCAUUGACGCUGAGGCGCGAAAGCCAGGGGAGCAAACGGG